Molecule: transfer RNA, 85 nt
Filed under: Candidatus Dadabacteria bacterium
Lineage: Bacteria; Pseudomonadati; Thermodesulfobacteriota; Candidatus Dadabacteria
Description: tRNA-Leu
Rfam family: tRNA
About the family: Transfer RNA (tRNA) molecules are approximately 80 nucleotides in length. Their secondary structure includes four short double-helical elements and three loops (D, anti-codon, and T loops).
Source: RNAcentral
GUCGAAGUGGUGGAAUUGGCAUACACAACAGACUUAAAAUCUGUCGCCCAUUACGGGCUUGCGGGUUCGAGUCCCGCCUUCGACA